CGGUGAUAUAUUUUUGGCAGCUCAAGUGAAAAUCGUAAAAGAUUUUUCCGUGUUUUUCCUGUCUUCUUGGAAAGAUAUGAUCCCCAUGACAUCUCACAACCAAGAGAAUAUCUGAUAAUCAUUAAACUGUUACAUUUGUGAAAACUAAACAAGUCAGCAAAUAAGGUUAUAUCAUCACCACAUGCCCCUCAUACGCUGUCCUUUGCAUGUUCCUCCUACAGCUGUGACACCAACUUUCAAUCUGUUUUACAACUUUUUAUGAGCAUUCCAAGAUAACAGAGGAGCACAGGUGUGAGAGGAAGCUCCUCCCACCGCGCAGAUUGUGGUUUGCAUGAGUUUGGCUGAUCAGAGCAGAGUUAGAGAAUCCAGGCGUUUUCCUCUGCUGUUCGACCACAAUGGAGGACACCUACCAGCACCCCGUUUUCCUGGAGAGUCCCAGACCUCUAGAGGAAGUCAGGAGGAAAGUGGAGCUUUAUUUUUGCGUGAGGCGCAGAUCAGGCGGAGGAGAGUGCGGACAUCUGACCGCUGUGCGUCAAAACAUCUACAGGAUCGACUUCAAACACCAACGAGACCAGCAGGAAGUCCUGAGAAGAUCCCUCCAUGUCGUGGAGCUGGAAGAUGAUCAUGUGGAGAUCAGAGUCAGAAGCAGCUUGGAACCUCCCACCUCCUCCUCCAGCCGCAAUACCUCACCUUCUCCAGCAGAGAACUCAGAGGAUGAUCCUGAUGAAGAUGCUGAGCUGCUCUUUGAUGAUCAACAGUCUCCGCUCCUGGAAGAAAGCCUCUUCUCUGAGCAGGAGCUCGUCCCUGAAUGCUCCGUGGAGCUUCACCCACCAGAGGGAAGGGCUUUAUAUGUGGCGACAGCAGAUUAUUCUGGUGAUGAGAAACCGGAGCGGGGCACAGACUCUGUCGGGUCUUGUGAUGGACUAAGAAUAGACAGCAUGGAUCCGGAGGGAGACAUGGUCGCUGCUGGACAGGAAGAACUCAGAGAGGCUGCUGCUGCUGCUUGUGGGGGCAUGUUCACGUUGAGAUUGUUCAGGAAGCCCUUGAGACACAGGAAGUGAGAAAUCUUUUUUAACACUUUCACAAAUCCCUCAAAUAUGGAGCAGUUUGCAGACUCAGCACUGAACCACGGACAAACGUCUUCCUGCUCUUCCCUCAGACGGACGCUCUGGUGUCUCCCAUGGUCGGCCACUACCACCUGUCUACUCGUCUAGAAACAUCCUAGAAAACAUAGUUGGCUCUCAUCUCACUGAAUACUUCAUAGAAGCAGCAGGAGACGAAUGGAUCCCGGGGGACUAUGUGCUGGUAGAGGGACUCCCUGGACUUCCUUCCAGCGCAGUGUUCUUCCUCGAUCUCAUUCCAUGGGAUGGAGAUGAAGAUGGAACUGCAGUUCAGGUGGGAUCUUCUUUCUGGAGAAGUUUUCAGUGUAAGAAUUUUAUCAUUCAAACAAACUAAUUGGGCUGUUUUUGAUUGUCUUCAGAUUCUCAGGUUGGGGAUCAACAACAUCCUAACUUCCUGUGACGACAGAGGCAUCAGAUCUGUGGCUCUUCCUGCACUCGGAGAUGGAAUUGCCCUUAGUUUUCCUAUCAGUUUGGUAGCCAGAGUCAUACUGGAAGAGCUUUAUAAAUAUGAACGUGAGCGAGCCAGCAGCACAGACCUCUCAGUUCGUAUUGUCCUUCUGCCUGAAAACGAAGAAGCUAAAGAGGUGAGAAAAACAGAUUUUGCCGUUCUAAAAAAUAUUUUCCAACUUUCAUUGUUCUUAUGUAUUACUGUAGAAAUGUGACUGAACAUCAUCUUACUUUACACGUU
Molecule: long non-coding RNA, 1809 nt
Organism: Oryzias javanicus (javanese ricefish)
Lineage: Eukaryota; Metazoa; Chordata; Actinopteri; Beloniformes; Adrianichthyidae
Source: Ensembl